GACAGAGGGGGCAAGCGUUGCUCGGAAUCACUGGGCGUAAAGGGCGCGUAGGCGGGAUGGCAAGUCGGUCGUGAAAUCCUUCGGCUCAACCGAAGAACGUCGGCCGAUACUGCCGUUCUUGAGGGAUGCAGAGGAGAUUGGAAUUCCCGGUGUAGCGGUGAAAUGUGUAGAGAUCGGGAGGAACACCGGUGGCGAAGGCGGGUCUCUGGGGCAUCUCCUGACGCUGAGGCGCGAAAGCGUGGGGAGCAAACGGGG
RNAcentral lists this ribosomal RNA (255 nucleotides) under uncultured bacterium. Its description in RNAcentral is "partial 16S ribosomal RNA". It matches the Rfam family "Bacterial small subunit ribosomal RNA", at positions 524 to 777 of the family's 1533-position model. The record is from RNAcentral.